GAUGAACGCUGGCGGCGUGCCUAAUACAUGCAAGUCGAGCGAACAGACGAGGAGCUUGCUCCUCUGACGUUAGCGGCGGACGGGUGAGUAACACGUGGAUAACCUACCUAUAAGACUGAGAUAACUUCGGGAAACCGGAGCUAAUACCGGAUAACAUGUUGAACCGCAUGGUUCAACAGUGAAAUACGGUUUUGCUGUCACUUAUAGAUGGAUCCGCGCCGCAUUAGCUAGUUGGUAAGGUAACGGCUUACCAAGGCAACGAUGCGUAGCCGACCUGAGAGGGUGAUCGGCCACACUGGAACUGAGACACGGUCCAGACUCCUACGGGAGGCAGCAGUAGGGAAUCUUCCGCAAUGGUCGAAAGCCUGACGGAGCAACGCCGCGUGAGUGAAGAAGGUCUUCGGAUCGUAAAACUCUGUUAUUAGGGAAGAACAAAUGUGUAAGUAACUAUGCACGUCUUGACGGUACCUAAUCAGAAAGCCACGGCUAACUACGUG
RNAcentral lists this ribosomal RNA (497 nucleotides) under uncultured bacterium. RNAcentral's name for it is "partial 16S ribosomal RNA". It matches the Rfam family "Bacterial small subunit ribosomal RNA", at positions 28 to 507 of the family's 1533-position model. The record is from RNAcentral.